This 3181-nucleotide long non-coding RNA is filed under the name Canis lupus familiaris (dog). RNAcentral describes it as "lncRNA (ENSCAFG00000059170.1, ENSCAFG00805019585.1)". Lineage: Eukaryota; Metazoa; Chordata; Mammalia; Carnivora; Canidae. The record is from RNAcentral.
UUGUGUUUCCUACCCUUUCUGUAUUCUUUUGUCUCCAGGCAAACUUUCUUCGGCCUUCUCUGCCCUUCUUUUUUUUCUUUUCUUUUGCCUAUUGUUACUCUACCUGUGUUUUAAGACUAAACUUAGAUGACACUUUUUUUUCAUUAUAUUUUCCCAGAGUCCCCUGAUUGUAUUAGAGUUAAUUUCUUUCACUCCAUCCAAGGGUUAAUUACACACGUAAAUAGCCCAUGUCAUUUUCAUAGGCUGCCCAAUUUUUCCCUAAUUGUGCAUUAGUCAUCAGAUGUGGGUUUUUGUUUUUAUUUUUAGAUAUUGAAGAGACAGGUUUCUAUAAUCUCUUCCAUUGGUUAUUAUGUAUUGUUCUGAGAGUGCAGGAACUAAAACAUUUUGUGUUUUUUUAAAGAUUUUAUUUAUUCAUGAGAGAGGCAGAGACACCCCUGAGGGAGAAGCAAGCUCCCUGCAGGGAGCCCAAUGCAGGACUUAAUCCCAGGACUCUGGAAUCACGCCCUGAGCUGAAGGCAGAUGCUCAACCACUGAGCUACCCAGGCAUCCCUAGGAACUAAAAACGUUUUAAUCUAAAAUAUCAGCAAUGUAAUUUGAUCAAUGAAAUAAUUCUGUAAUGCCAAGGGACUUACAAAUGGUGAGCAUCACUCUAUACUAAUGUCCCACUUUGUAACAAAAUAAUGUGACCGCCAUUAACCCUGGAGUGGUGAGGUACAGGGAUACUCCCAGUUCAGAUGGCUACAUGAACAGGUAGGUGCCUCUUUCAGCCAUUCUUAAGCUCAGCCUAUUGUUACACUAAGGAAACCGAGACACUUUAGCACUUACUAUAUAUCACAUCCUCCAGCUAUAUUGGAAGCACUGUGAGGAAAGAUACUGUAUCCUAUCCAAUUUUACAGCCCAUCUAGCAUCAGCAAAUAUAAAGUAGGAACUGAAUGAAGGCUCCAUGAUUUACCCUUUAUUCUUCACAAUUGCUCUUAACACACAGUCUUUAUUUUUCUUCCUGCAUUUAUAAAUCAGUGAGGUUUUCCCAAGGGAGAAAACAAAAUUUUUGCCCUGACUAAACUUAUUCUAAUUUGCAAGUAGUUUAAUUCCCCUUACCAUUCUUCCAGGCAACAUCCAUGAAGCCAAAGACUUUGUUCAUUGCCAUAUCCCUUGCCUAGACCAUUGCCUAAUGCAGAGUAAAUAAUAAACAUAGUUGAAUAAAUGCCAAAUUAGUUGUUUUUUCUACACAGAGUCAUCAGGCAAUGAAGGAGAUAAAGAUAUAGUUGCCCUUAUAUUAAGGUGAUUGAUCCAUUUUAUUGCCCAUAAAUUGAGCGUUUUUAGGCCAUCAUGAAUAUUGAUUGGUCCAGAGAUUCCUCCAGCAUGAGGAAGCCAAGGAGUGGCUUAAUUUGUGAAAACACAAAUUAAGAAACAACACAUUAUGAAGUAUAACUAAUAAAAAUGCUGGGGAAUGAGGACUGUUUAAAAGGGAAAUGGUGAUCAUAGUAACAUAUAUAACUUAAAGAUGAGGGAACAAGAAUUUUUUUUUGAGAACAAAAAUAUAUUAUUACUUGGCUAUAAGAACUUAUUACUAUCAGCAUCUUUUAAUUUUUUAAUUUUACUGAGUUUUUAAUACUAGGAAUACUAGUUAUUUACAUACAUGAUGUGUAUAAUUCUCAUGUAUGUCCCAUCAGGAAAACAUUUUCACCAUCAUUUUUCAAAUAAGGAAACUGGUAUUUAAAGAGGUUAAGUUUAACUUUCCCAAAGUCAUAGUAAUUGGCCAAACAACAGUCAAGCCUCAAGUUUAUUCCUAAAGAUACUUCUGUUGAGGGAUUUGAUUUCUUUUUUAAUUGUAGGUAAAUCUGAAUAAUCCUAUUGUUUUGUUUUUAGUAAUCCUGUUUCUUAAAUUUCAGAGUUUUUUUCAAAGAUUUUACUUAUUUAUUUGAGACCGAACACGAGCAGGGGAGGGGCAGAGGGAGAAGCAGACUCCCUGCACCCUCAGUGGGGAUCCUGGCAGGAGGUUCAGUGGGGCUCUCUCCCAGGACCCCAGGAUCAUGACCAAGCCGAAGGCAGACCCUUAACUGACAGGCGCCCCUGUUUCUUAAAUUUCAAACAUAUGUAUUCUCUGGGUCAUAGUUGGCAAUAUCUUUUUUUCCUUCAGCAUAAUUAUUGAGGGCUUUAUGUAUUAGAAUAUAAACAUUUGAUCUGUAAACCCAAGCAUUAUACUUCCUGCUGCCUGAAGACAUUUGGCCUGUUUGUGAGGAGGAAGGGAAUGGAGGGAGACACGGAAAAGGACAUUACCCCUAGGAUGGAAAGAAAACACUUUCCUUCUACCGAAGGAGUGGAGAUCAGGUGAUCCAGGUGAUUGUAAAUUUUGAAACAAGCUAUCACUGCUCUGAGGAGGCUUACCUAAAUUUUCUGUUACAAAGUCUUGCAAUUCUAGUUUUAUGGGGACUUUUCCUGGUUCAGCAAUAAUAGAUUUGAUAGAGUCAAAAAGAAAAUAGGAUUUACACAUGGAGACAUAAAAGGGUAGGAAUGGAAGGUUUAGGAAUAUAGGAACAAAAAGAGAGGAAAGUGUUAGAAAGUGGGCCUGGAAAGUAGUAUGAAGAAGUAGACUUGGAUGGUUUCAGGCACAUGAACCAAGAAAGGAACCCUUGCAAUAAAUAGAAUUCCCAGUAGGGUUCAAUGGACAUCAGUUGACUUGGAUUAAUUACCAUGAGUGUGGGAACUUCCUUGCAAUUUUAAUAAGAAUUAUUCAAUAGCCUGUUGCUCGGCAGGAUUACCACCAGACCAAGUCAUGAAUCUGCACAGCUGAAGUCCACUUUUCCCCCACGCCACUCCACACAAAUACAAUAUCAGCAAUGUUUUUGGGGCAAUCAAAAGGCUGAGGACAUUACUGAGUGCCUACAACAAAUGAUAAGAAAUUAUGGAAUUCUUAGUAGCUCAGUUGCAGUACAUCUGAGGGCACUCCUGCCAGUUCCUGACCUAAUUAGGGAUCUGCAGCAAACAUUAGAAAAUUUUGCUCAUCUUAAUGGCUUUCAAAUACCAAGUACGUGAAUUUAUUCACAGUCAGGUAAUGGAAGGCAUCAAUGAACAAAAAGGAGUGAAAGUUGUUCAUAUAUUGAGUAAAAGAGAUGAGUAUAUCUUUCCAUAUGAACCAAAGUGAGGAAGAAUACAUGAUCACAACCAAAAAAAAAAAAAA